This 1340-nucleotide long non-coding RNA is filed under the name Nicotiana benthamiana. RNAcentral's name for it is "long non-coding RNA (NBEN_LNC016931)". Lineage: Eukaryota; Viridiplantae; Streptophyta; Magnoliopsida; Solanales; Solanaceae. The record is from RNAcentral.
CCUUUUAAUGUGAAAUCAAAGUAACCCCCCCUCCCCAACCCCCCACCCCAAUACACACACAAAAUUUCGAGCCUAAAUGCAGUAAUUUUAUGAUAAAGUGGACUCGAUUGAAAAUCACUCAAAUGUGGAUUUGAAAUACGAUGAGCCUACUAGCGAAGGCAUGACUCCGACACGACAGUCUGAAAAUCAACAAGGGAUGAGGAUAUUCCUCCGCCAAAAUUUUGACCAAAGACUAGCUGCCUCUUUUCACAUGUAAUAAUGUCUUUUCGUGGUAUUUAUUGUAGAGCGAUAAUUGUGAAGUAUAACUUUACUGUUCAAGUUUCUCAUCAAAGAUGAAAAGAACUAGGAACAACCGAUUAGUUCUGAAACUUCAUUUUAAUUUGUUAAAACUAUACAAUAAUAAAAUCAUAAAAUCUUAUAAGUGGGGGAGUGUGUAUGUAGAUAUUAUUAAGAAGAUGGGAUACUAUUUUCGGUAGGUUCUAGGUUCACGAACAAAAAAGCGAGAGCAAUAAACAAAUAAUACCUUCAACAAGGUAAUAGGGCAACAUAAGGAAAUGAUACAAUAUAUAAUAACAAAGUUUAGGAAUAUAAAAAUACAAGAAUAGUGUCACUACUACGCUAAAUGAAAAUUUAAUUGGAGGCCUUUGUUGAAAAAUUAAACAAGAUAGGAGGCCUAAAACAAAAUUUUAAUUGGAGGUCUUUGUUGAAACAAAACCUUCUAGCUUUUUGUUUAUAAAAUAAUUUAUGUUAUAAACCAUUUAAUCACUCUUAAAACAUUGUUGAUCUUUAAAAAUUAAAUCAAAUUUAAAGUUGAUAACUUGAUACUAAAAUAAUUAUUAGAUUUUCGAUCCACAAUGAUCAGGAUCGAAUGAAUGCGCAUUCUCUUUCUGGCAAGCGAAAAUAUACUUCUAAUCUCUCAGUAACCAAUGAUCAGGCGAGGCAGAAAUUAUUUAGUUCGGAUUUUUCUGGUAAAAAAGAAGAUAGAAUUCCUGAUUAUUCAGACCUUAAUCGAAUCAUAUGUGUUGGUCAGUAUAAUCUUGUAUAUUCGCCUAUUCUCCACGAAAAUUCUGAUUUAUUAUCAAAAAGGCGGAGAGAUAAAUUCAUCAUCCCACUACACUCGAUUCAAGAACUCGAGAAUGAACUAAUGCCCUGUUCAGGUAUCUCGAUUGAAAUCCCUGUAAAUGCUAUUUUCCGUCGAAAUAGUAUUCUUGCUUAUUUCGAUGAUCCUCGAAACAGAAGAAAGAGUUCGGGCAUUAUUAAAUAUGGGACUAUAGAAACGCAUUCAGUCAUCAAAAAAGAGGAUUUGCUUGAGUAUCGAGGAGUCAAGGAAUUUAGGCCAA